CAGUCGCCACGGUAAUACGUAGGUAGCAAGCGUUGUCCGGAAUUAUUGGGCGUAAAGGGCUCGCAGGCGGUUUCUUAAGUCUGAUGUGAAAGCCCCCGGCUCAACCGGGGAGGGUCAUUGGGAACUGGGAAACUUGAGUGCAGAAGAGGAGAGUGGAAUUCCACGUGUAGCGGUGAAAUGCGUAGAGAUGUGGAGGAACACCAGUGGCGAAGGCGACUCUCUGGUCUGUAACUGACGCUGAGGAGCGAAAGCGUGGGGAGCGAACAGGAUUAGAGACCCCCGUAGUCCCUGUCUCUUAUAC
This 301-nucleotide ribosomal RNA is filed under the name uncultured bacterium. Its description in RNAcentral is "partial 16S ribosomal RNA". It matches the Rfam family "Bacterial small subunit ribosomal RNA", at positions 509 to 807 of the family's 1533-position model. The record is from RNAcentral.